Molecule: ribosomal RNA, 816 nt
Filed under: uncultured Bacillota bacterium
Lineage: Bacteria; Bacillati; Bacillota
Description: bacterial SSU rRNA
Rfam family: Bacterial small subunit ribosomal RNA
Source: RNAcentral
GGGUAGCAAUAUCCUGAGUAAAGCGGCGCACGGGUGAGUAACACGUGGGUAAUCUGCCCUGGAGUGGGGAAUAACACCGGGAAACCGGUGCUAAUACCGCAUACGAUAAUGAGGUCUGCGGACUUUGUUAUGAAAGGAGCAAUUCGCUCUAGGAGGAGCCCGCGGCUGAUUAGCUAGUUGGUGAGGUAAUGGCUCACCAAGGCUACGAUCAGUAUCCGGUCUGAGAGGACGGUCGGACACACUGGAACUGAGACACGGUCCAGACUCCUACGGGAGGCAGCAGUGGGGAAUUUUUCGCAAUGGGGGCAACCCUGACGAAGCAACGCCGCGUGGGUGAUGAAGUAUCUCGGUACGUAAAACCCUUUCGACGGGGAAGAAACCGCAAGGUUGACGGUACCCGUAGAAGAAGCCCCGGCUAACUCCGUGCCAGCAGCCGCGGUAAUACGGGGGGGGCAAGCGUUGUUCGGAAUUACUGGGCGUAAAGGGUGCGUAGGCGGUGCUCUAAGUCGGAUGUGAAAACUCUGGGCUCAACCCAGAGCCUGCAUCCGAAACUGGAGUGCUAGAGUUCUGGAGGGGGUAGCGGAAUUCCUGGUGUAGCGGUGAAAUGCGUAGAUAUCAGGAGGAACACCGGUGGCGAAGGCGGCUACCUGGACAGAAACUGACGCUGAGGCACGAAAGCUAGGGGAGCAAACAGGAUUAGAUACCCUGGUAGUCCUAGCCCUAAACGAUGGAUACUUGGUGUAGCUGGGAUUGAAUCCAGCUGUGCCGAAGCUAACGCAUUAAGUAUCCCGCCUGGGGAGUACGGUCGCAAGGCUG